This 497-nucleotide ribosomal RNA is filed under the name uncultured bacterium. RNAcentral describes it as "partial 16S ribosomal RNA". It matches the Rfam family "Bacterial small subunit ribosomal RNA", at positions 28 to 507 of the family's 1533-position model. The record is from RNAcentral.
GAUGAACGCUGGCGGCGUGCCUAAUACAUGCAAGUCGAGCGAACGGACGCGAAGCUUGCUUCUCUGAUGUUAGCGGCGGACGGGUGAGUAACACGUGGAUAACCUACCUAUAAGACUGGGAUAACUUCGGGAAACCGUAGCUAAUACCGGAUAAUAUUUUGAACCGCAUGGUUCAAAAGUGAAAGACGGUCUUGCUGUCACUUAUAGAUGGAUCCGCGCUGCAUUAGCGAGUUGGUAAGGUAACGGCUUACCAAGGGAAGGAUGCAUAGCCGACGGGUGAGGGGGGUAGCAGACAUGGGAGCGGAGACGCGGUCCAGAGUCCUACGGGAGGCAGCAGAAGGGAAUGUUCGGCAAUGGGGGAAAGCAUUACGGAGCAGGGGCGCGUGAGUGGUGACGGCGCUCGGAUCGUAAAACUCUGUUAUGAGGGAAGAACAGAUGUGGAAGGAACUGAGCAGAGCGUGACGGUAACGAAUAAGAAAGCCCCGGCUAACUACGUG